UUCUGCUAGAGUUGAACCAAAGAAGUUUUCAGGGAGUCUAUAGAACAUGAACUAAUUCUCCAAUUCUUUUGUUUAUACGAUCAUAAAUCUGGAGGUAAAAUGUGAACUGGAACGACCUCCAGGAAUUGAUGCAGAGUGAAAGGAGCAGAACCAGAACAUUGUACACAGUGACGAUACACUGUGAUACAAUCGAAUGUAAUGGACUUCUCUACUAGCAGCAAUGCAGUGAUCCAGGACAAUUCUGAGGGACUUAGGAGAAAGAACACUAUCCACAUCCAGAGAAAGAACUGUGGGCAUAGAAACACAGACAAAAACAACUGCUUAAUCACAUGGGUGAGACAGUUGAGGUGAAAAGACUUGUCACACAGGAUGGCCUCCUAAGACAGUGACCUGACAAUUUCAUCCAAAACCGAGAGAUUGAAAAAUGGGGGAAGAAUGAAAUUUGGGUGGCUCAAACAAUAAAUGGAGAUAUAAGGUAAGGUGCA
RNAcentral lists this long non-coding RNA (485 nucleotides) under Monodelphis domestica (gray short-tailed opossum). RNAcentral's name for it is "lncRNA (ENSMODG00000037609.1)". Lineage: Eukaryota; Metazoa; Chordata; Mammalia; Didelphimorphia; Didelphidae. The record is from RNAcentral.